ACGAGGAUCAUCGGUGUAGCAAUACAUCGGCGGUUCUAGUGUCGUACGGGUGAGUAACACGUGGGUAACCUGUCCUUGAGCUCGGGAUACCCUCUCGAAAGGGAGGCUAAUACCGGAUACGUUCCUCGGAUUGCGAAGUCUGGGGAGGAAAGGUGGCGAAAGCUGCCGCUCGUGGAGGGGCUCGCGGCCUAUCAGCUAGUUGGUGAGGUAAUGGCUCACCAAGGCUAUGACGGGUAGCUGGUCUGAGAGGACGACCAGCCACACGGGAACUGAGACACGGUCCCGACUCCUACGGGAGGCAGCAGUGGGGAAUUUUCCGCAAUGGGCGAAAGCCUGACGGAGUGACGCCGCGUGGGGGACGAAGGCCUUCGGGUUGUAAACCCCUGUCAGAGGGAAAGAAGGGUGUCGGCGCGAUAACCGCCGGUACUUGACGGUACCUUCAGAGGAAGCCCCGGCCAACUCUGUGCCAGCAGCCGCGGUAAGACAGAGGGGGCAAGCGUUGCUCGGAAUCACUGGGCGUAAAGGGCGCGUAGGCGGGAUGGCAAGUCAGUCGUGAAAUCUCUCGGCUCAACCGAGAAACGUCGGCUGAUACUGCCGUUCUUGAGGGAUGCAGAGGAGACUGGAAUUCCCGGUGUAGCGGUGAAAUGUGUAGAGAUCGGGAGGAACACCGGUGGCGAAGGCGGGUCUCUGGGCAUUUCCUGACGCUGAGGCGCGAAAGC
This 719-nucleotide ribosomal RNA is filed under the name uncultured Actinomycetes bacterium. RNAcentral describes it as "bacterial SSU rRNA". It matches the Rfam family "Bacterial small subunit ribosomal RNA", at positions 62 to 760 of the family's 1533-position model. The record is from RNAcentral. Lineage: Bacteria; Bacillati; Actinomycetota; Actinomycetes.